AGUGAACGCUGGCGGUAGGCCUAACGCAUGCAAGUCGAACGGCAGCACAGUAAGAGCUUGCUCUUACGGGUGGCGAGUGGCGGACGGGUGAGGAAUACAUCGGAAUCUACUUUUUCGUGGGGGAUAACGUAGGGAAACUUACGCUAAUACCGCAUACGACCUACGGGUGAAAGCAGGGGAUCUUCGGACCUUGCGCGAUUGAAUGAGCCGAUGUCGGAUUAGCUAGUUGGCGGGGUAAAGGCCCACCAAGGCGACGAUCCGUAGCUGGUCUGAGAGGAUGAUCAGCCACACUGGAACUGAGACACGGUCCAGACUCCUACGGGAGGCAGCAGUGGGGAAUAUUGGACAAUGGGCGCAAGCCUGAUCCAGCCAUACCGCGUGGGUGAAGAAGGCCUUCGGGUUGUAAAGCCCUUUUGUUGGGAAAGAAGAGCAGCAGGUUAAUACCCCGCUGUUCUGACGGUACCCAAAGAAUAAGCACCGGCUAACUUCGUG
RNAcentral lists this ribosomal RNA (492 nucleotides) under uncultured bacterium. RNAcentral describes it as "partial 16S ribosomal RNA". It matches the Rfam family "Bacterial small subunit ribosomal RNA", at positions 29 to 507 of the family's 1533-position model. The record is from RNAcentral.